Molecule: ribosomal RNA, 373 nt
Filed under: uncultured organism
Description: partial 16S ribosomal RNA
Rfam family: Bacterial small subunit ribosomal RNA
Source: RNAcentral
GUAGGUGGCAAGCGUUGUCCGGAAUUAUUGGGCGUAAAGCGCGCGCAGGCGGUCCUUUAAGUCUGAUGUGAAAGCCCACGGCUCAACCGUGGAGGGUCAUUGGAAACUGGGGGACUUGAGUACAGAAGAGGAAAGCGGAAUUCCACGUGUAGCGGUGAAAUGCGUAGAGAUGUGGAGGAACACCAGUGGCGAAGGCGGCUUUCUGGUCUGUAACCGACGCUGAGGCGCGAAAGCGUGGGGAGCAAACAGGAUUAGAUACCCUGGUAGUCCACGCCGUAAACGAUGAGUGCUAAGUGUUAGGGGGUUUCCCGCCCCCUUAGUGCUGCAGCUAACGCAUUAAGCACUCCGCCUGGGGAGUACGGCCGCAAGGCUG